RNAcentral lists this ribosomal RNA (456 nucleotides) under uncultured bacterium. RNAcentral describes it as "bacterial SSU rRNA". It matches the Rfam family "Bacterial small subunit ribosomal RNA", at positions 340 to 786 of the family's 1533-position model. The record is from RNAcentral.
UACGGAAGGCAGCAGUGGGGAAUAUUGCACAAUGGGCGCAAGCCUGAUGCAGCCAUGCCGCGUGUAUGAAGAAGGCCUUCGGGUUGUAAAGUACUUUCAGUCGUGAGGAAGGUGUUAAGGUUAAUAACCUUAGCAAUUGACGUUAGCGACAGAAGAAGCACCGGCUAACUCCGUGCCAGCAGCCGCGGUAAUACGGAGGGUGCGAGCGUUAAUCGGAAUUACUGGGCGUAAAGGGCACGCAGGCGGUUAAUUAAGUUGGAUGUGAAAUCCCCGGGCUUAACCUGGGAAUGGCAUUCAAGACUGGUUAGCUAGAGUCUUGUAGAGGGGGUAGAAUUCCAUGUGUAGCGGUGAAAUGCGUAGAGAUGUGGAGGAAUACCGGGUGGCGAAAGGCGGCCCCUGGGACAAAGACUGACGCUCAUGUGCGAAAGCGUGGGGAGCAAACAGGGAUUAGAUACC